CAGCCGCCGCGGUAAUACAGAGGAUGCAAGCGUUAUCCGGAAUGAUUGGGCGUAAAGCGUCUGUAGGUGGCUUUUCAAGUCCGCCGUCAAAUCCCAGGGCUCAACCCUGGACAGGCGGUGGAAACUACCAAGCUAGAGUACGGUAGGGGCAGAGGGAAUUUCCGGUGGAGCGGUGAAAUGCGUUGAGAUCGAAAAGAACACCAACGACGAAAGCACUCUGCUGGGUCGACACUGACACUGAGAGACGAAAGCUAGGGGAGCAAAUGGGAUUAGAUACCCCAGUAGUCCCUGUCUCUUAUAC
Molecule: ribosomal RNA, 301 nt
Filed under: uncultured bacterium
Lineage: Bacteria
Description: partial 16S ribosomal RNA
Rfam family: Bacterial small subunit ribosomal RNA
Source: RNAcentral